Molecule: ribosomal RNA, 520 nt
Filed under: uncultured Glomus
Lineage: Eukaryota; Fungi; Glomeromycota; Glomeromycetes; Glomerales; Glomeraceae
Description: SSU rRNA
Rfam family: Eukaryotic small subunit ribosomal RNA
Source: RNAcentral
AGCAGCCGCGGUAAUUCCAGCUCCAAUAGCGUAUAUUAAAGUUGUUGCAGUUAAAAAGCUCGUAGUUGAAUUUCGGGAUCAGAUUGUCGGUCGUGCCUCGGUACGCACUGGCAUUAUUGGUUCCUACCUUCUGAAGAACCGCGAUGUCAUUAAUUUGGUGUCGCGGGGAAUCAGGACUGUUACUUUGAAAAAAUUAGAGUGUUUAAAGCAGGCUUACGCUUGAAUACAUUAGCAUGGAAUAAUGAAAUAGGACGUUUGAUUCUAUUUUGUUGGUUUCUUAGGAUCGACGUAAUGAUUAAUAGGGAUAGUUGGGGGCGAUUAGUAUUCAAUUGUCAGAGGUGAAAUUCUUGGAUUUAUUGAAGACUAACUACUGCGAAAGCAUUUGCCAAGGAUGUUUUCAUUAAUCAAGAACGAAAGUUAGGGGAUCGAAGACGAUCAGAUACCGUCGUAGUCUUAACCAUAAACUAUGCCGACUAGGGAUCGGAUGAUGUUAAUUUUAUAAUGACUCAUUCGGCGUCCG